AGCAAGGCUGGGGCGGCAGAAGAUGGGUACUUGGGGUAAGAAAAGUCCAGCACCUGGGAUAUUGCCCUAAGAGAGUGAGCAUCAUCAGGAAGGUCGAUCACAGGAGACUGCACAGCCAUGGACAGCAGGAGGGAGGUUGUCACCUGGGGAACUGGGGUGAAGGCAAAUUAGAGCAAGGAACUGACAAAGGAAGAUGAGGAGAUGCUGAAAUCAAAUACAUCCACAAUUUUUAUCUCUGACAAAAUGCAAUUCACAGAGGUCUUCUGGGUCAAGGGAGAGCUAUCUUUCCUCAAAAUCCUCAGAUGACUUGAAUGUAUGAAGAUGACCUGGCAAUUCAUCCUUGCUCACUGUUCCAGUGCUCCUACUAGUGAAAGCACUUAGGUGUUUGAAAUGACACCAAAGAAGCUCUUUCUGAGUUGGGAAAAAUUGGUAACAGUAUAACACCUGGUGAAUAUUAUCAUCAUUAUUAUUGGAACCCACUUUUUCUCCUAUAUCUAUUUUGCUCAUUUCCAUGGAGCUAAAGACAUUGUGAAUGAUAAAGUAGAGUGGAAACCUGACCAUCGUGGCCCCUUCAGACUAUACAGGAAAUGAGGUUAUCAGAAAUUCCUUUUAAUAAUGCAAAAGCAGAAAUGUUGAAACAAAGGCUUUGAUGAAUUAUAUUUUUAAGGCCAGACUGGUUCUCUGUGUUCAAAUAUAAGCAUGAAUUAGUUCCUUCACCAACAUAUUUGUACUGUUAUAUACACCAGUUUAUGUCUCCUCGUAGUAUGUGGUCCAUUAAAACUGAGAAACAUGACAGUGAAACUACUGAUUUUUGACCAUUUACCAUAGCAACUCAUCAUGAAAAAGAACACAUUGUAGCACUAAAUCAGACAAAUAUUGCAUCAUGG
Molecule: long non-coding RNA, 887 nt
Filed under: Pan troglodytes (chimpanzee)
Lineage: Eukaryota; Metazoa; Chordata; Mammalia; Primates; Hominidae
Description: long non-coding RNA NONPTRT012056
Source: RNAcentral